This 253-nucleotide ribosomal RNA is filed under the name uncultured bacterium. RNAcentral describes it as "partial 16S ribosomal RNA". It matches the Rfam family "Bacterial small subunit ribosomal RNA", at positions 524 to 776 of the family's 1533-position model. The record is from RNAcentral.
UACGGGGGGAGCAAGCGUUGUUCGGAUUUACUGGGCGUAAAGGGUUCGUAGGUGGCUUGCUAAGUCAGACGUGAAAUCCCUCAGCUUAACUGGGGAACUGCGUCUGAGACUGGCAAGCUCGAGUGCAGGAGAGGAACGCGGAAUUCCAGGUGUAGCGGUGAAAUGCGUAGAUAUCUGGAGGAACACCGGUGGCGAAGGCGGCGUUCUGGACUGCAACUGACACUGAUGAACGAAAGCCAGGGGAGCAAACGGG